CUUACUUACUUACUUACUUACUUACUUACUUACAGAUUCAUAUUCUCCCCAUAUUGGUAAAAACACAAUUUUUGCUAUAGUAAAGCAUCAUGGAUCUCACAGUAUUUAUUUUGUCCACCUUAGGACUUCCAGCUGGAUGCUGCUGCUGUAUACAACAAAGUGGCUAGGCAACUGGUGAAGCAGCAGAGCUACAGUGAGAUCAGGCAGCUCAUUAAAUGUAUCAAGGAGUCUGGUGCGGCAGAUAAAAAUGACGGGGACAAUGUCAUCCUCAGUUGUUUGGACGAGUUUGAUUCUAUCCCUGCUGAGGAGUUGGAUAAUCUGAUCCAGGAUAUGGACAGUGAUGAAAACAAGAUUCAAGCAUACUUGAAAUGCCAUAAACUACGCUCUGCCUAUCUUGUCUCAGUAAAACAAGACAAUGCAAGAGCUGUGCAGCUGGUCCAACAUGUACGGCAACUGGCAGAGGAUGGUGGGGAUGAUGUAGUGCAGGCCAUCUGCAUCCAGUGGCUUUCGGUGCAUCAUACUAAGCCAAGAAGCUGGCUUAGCCAAAAUCCCAUGAAAUGACUCCCAGAAAGUUGUUGGGAUGUUGUUCCUAUAAAGGGAAAACUUUAC
Python bivittatus (Burmese python) is the source of this 609-nucleotide non-coding RNA. The record is from RefSeq and is a predicted model, not a curated record. Lineage: Eukaryota; Metazoa; Chordata; Lepidosauria; Squamata; Pythonidae.